RNAcentral lists this long non-coding RNA (1645 nucleotides) under Anolis carolinensis (green anole). Its description in RNAcentral is "lncRNA (ENSACAG00000039911.1)". Lineage: Eukaryota; Metazoa; Chordata; Lepidosauria; Squamata; Anolidae. The record is from RNAcentral.
AAAAUUAAUCAUUUAUUUACUGCAUUUAUUUACUACAUUUAUAUCCCACCCUUCUCAUCCCGAAGGGGACUCAGAGCAGCUGUAUGCACAUACAAUAUAUUAUAUUAUUAGCAUAACACAAUAUUAGCAUUAUAUAUUACUAUAUUGCACUAUACCACUAUACUAUUAUAUAAUAUGUAAUAUAUAACAUAUAAUUAAUAUUAUUAUAUGGUAUUACUAUUAGUAUUAUAUUGUAUAACAUAAGAUUAUUAUCAAUAUUAUAUGUAUAUACAAUAUCUAUAUAUAUAAAAGAGUGAUGGAAUCCUGGCGACUGGCAAAACAACAAAACUAAACACCCCAUAAACUCGAAAAUUGACAACACAACCCAUCAUCCAUGCCUCUAGGUUGAUACAACAAAAAGAAAAGAAAAAUAAAGUCCUAAUUAGAGGGAGAGGAAUAAUUGUUUUUAUCCAAUUGCUGCCAGUUAGAAGGCUAAGCUCCGCCCACUUGGUCUCCUAGCAACCCACUCACCCAGGGGACAGGCAGAGCUUAGCCUUCUAACUGGCAGCAAUUGGAUAAAAACAAUUAUUCCUCUCCCUCUAAUUAGGACUUUAUUUUUCUUUUCUUUUUGUUGUAUGAAUGUAGAGGCAUGGAUGAGGGGUCGUGCUGCCAAGUUUAGUGUUUCUGGGGUGUGUAGUUUUGUUGUUUUGUCCUAGGCCGAAACAUCAUUACCCUUGUAUAUAUAUAUAUAUAUAGAUAAAUGUAAUGUGCAUAAUUCCCAUGGAGUAAACAACAAAACCACUGGACCAAAUCACACCAAAUUUGGCCACAAAAGACAUUCGUCAUCCAAUCAAUCUGUAUGCGGCAGCGUGUCAGCAAAAAUGGCUAGGCGUGUCAGUGGUGACACGCGUGUCAUAGGUUGGCCAUCACUGAGCUAGGAGGACGACGAAAGCGAGAGGAAGGAGUCCUUUAUAUACUUAAAAACACACCUAGAAGGUUUUCUAGCCAUCUCCAUCUCCACAAUGGGAAACUGAGAAAAAUGGAAAAAGAUCUAGAGACAACCUGUGUAUGGUGGAGGCAUACACGAAACCCUUACAGGAAACCCAGCCAGUUUUCAGCAUGAAUUUUAAACCCGUGUCUUGUGUUUAAUGUCCGUUCUGUGUGUAUUAUUAUUAUCAUCUUUAUCUUUAUGAAUACCUCACCUUUCUCCCCAUGGGGGACUCAAGGUGGCUAACACGCCACACUAAACAAGUUUUAAAAGUGUAAUACCAAUUACAGUAGAGUCUCACUUAUCCAACACUCGCUUAUCCAACAUUCUGGAUUAUCCAGCACAUUUUUGUAGUCAAUGUUCUCAAUACAUCAUGAUAUUUUGGUCCUAAAUUCGUAAAUUCAGUAAUUACUACAUAGCAUUACUGUGUAUUGAACUACUUUUUCUGUCAAAUUUGUUGUGUAACAUGAUGUUUUGGUGCUUAAUUUGUAAAAUCAUAACCUAAUUUGAUGUUUAAUAGGCUUUUCCUUAAUGCCUCCUUAUUAUCCAACAUAUUCGCUUAUCCAACAUUCUGCCGGCCCAUUUAUGUUGGAUAAGUGAGACUCUACUGUAUUAACAACAACAACAACUCUGUAUUGAUUAGUCAGUUUUGACCAUAUCAAAACAUGUAAAACAUAC